CCUGACCCGGAGGCCCGCCUUUACUCUCCCGGUCCCCCAAUUGAGAGGAGAAGGGAGGAAAGCGCUUCGCCAAUGCGCGCUUCCCACGCAGGCUGGCGACUGAGAGAGAAGCGAGAGGCUAGGUGGUGGAGAGAGUCCGUGACUGGUCCGCAGUGGCCAUGGGAGGAGCUUCAUGGCAAUAACCCAGAACUCCCGAGCUCCAGUCCAACGCUCUAACCAUUGCACCGCACUGUCAGCAGUCGUGGUUGGGGGACGCGGUGGCAAUGCUCCCCUCCGGUCACAGCGGGCUACGCUGCUCGGUGUCGGCGCUGCUCGGUGUUUGCGUCCGCCUGGGGUUGCCAGGCCCCGCGGAUCCUGGGGGUUAGACGGCGCCUGGGGGUGGAGUGGGGCUUACGCGUGGACUGGGCAUCGCAUCUUGGCUGGAAGGCGAAGGAAAACCUGGUUGGGCUUGGGGCCUGGUAGCAAUCCUGAGCAAUAAAAAUAAAAACGCUCAAAAGCAAGCAAAACAAUAA
Elgaria multicarinata webbii is the source of this 512-nucleotide long non-coding RNA. RefSeq lists it as uncharacterized. The transcript has 2 exons. Lineage: Eukaryota; Metazoa; Chordata; Lepidosauria; Squamata; Anguidae. The record is from RefSeq and is a predicted model, not a curated record.